This 96-nucleotide microRNA precursor is filed under the name Nicotiana sylvestris (wood tobacco). RNAcentral describes it as "MIR6152 microRNA precursor family". It matches the Rfam family "MIR6152 microRNA precursor family". The record is from Rfam by way of RNAcentral. Lineage: Eukaryota; Viridiplantae; Streptophyta; Magnoliopsida; Solanales; Solanaceae.
UGGACAGAUUAUUAUAUUCGACUAUAUUCACAGUGUGAAACAUGGGAUUACAUUGUUUUAAAAAAAAAAGUAAAUCAAUUAACAUAAUAGACUCCU